RNAcentral lists this ribosomal RNA (253 nucleotides) under uncultured bacterium. Its description in RNAcentral is "partial 16S ribosomal RNA". It matches the Rfam family "Bacterial small subunit ribosomal RNA", at positions 524 to 776 of the family's 1533-position model. The record is from RNAcentral.
UACGGAGGGCGCUAGCGUUGUUCGGAAUUACUGGGCGUAAAGCGCACGUAGGCGGCUCUGUAAGUUGGGGGUGAAAUCCCGAGGCUCAACCUCGGAAUUGCCUUCAAGACUGCAGGGCUUGAGUUCGAGAGAGGUGAGUGGAAUUCCCAGUGUAGAGGUGAAAUUCGUAGAGAUUGGGAAGAACACCAGUGGCGAAGGCGGCUCACUGGCCCGUAACUGACGCUGAUGUGCGAAAGCGUGGGGAGCAAACAGG